GGAAAUAGUAAAUUACAGUCCACAACUUCAAAGGGUCAAGAGCAGGUCCAAGUUUGGAAGUUGCAGUUAGAGUGGAACCACAAAACUCUCUCUCUUCACUUAUGCACAUGGUAACUAGGAAGCUGUCUUGUAGUGGUAUUUGUAAUUCCAUUUGCACAGAUCUUGUUGACAGGCAUGUGAAGAGUACUGCUCUGCCCUUUUCUUUUAGGUCCAAUGGGGGUGGCGUGCAUGUGCCUCUUUUCAUGCCUUUUUAACCCUUCAGUUAGCCAUUUUCUCUCCAGUUUUAUACCUAUAAUACCCAAAUCAUUUCUUGGAAGCGCCAAUACUCAGCAUAAACAAUUCUCCCCCUCCACAAAAUAUCAUUUAAUUUUUACUUUUUUUAAUAAUUUUUUCGCAUAAUACUAACAUUUAUGCCGCAAAUCUUCGAGGGUCAAGUUCAAAUCUCUGUUGAAGCGAAGUGGUUGGCUCAGUUUAAUUUUUUUUGGGUUAAAAUAUUUUUGCUCAUUUAAUUUCUCUGUAACGCUUUUAUUUACCCCAGGGACUAGAGUAGGGUCUCUUCCUUGCAGGGAUUAUGGGUUGGCCUAUCUACCUAUUCCCUAUCUCCUCCCUCGAUGUACACGUAUGCUUACUGGUUCAAAGGCCUAUAUAUACCUAUGCACGCUUCUGAGCAGCUUCAGCUCUCGGUGGAGUGGACUUAGUUUUCUGGAAGCAUCAAAGGUUGUUUUCAUGGUGGUUUUUGUAAUAUUUCUCUUGCUGCUCUGUCUCUCCUCUGCUUUGUUGAGAUGGAAUGAGGUGAGAUACAGGAAGAAAGGCUUGCCUCCAGGUACUAUGGGUUGGCCAGUUUUUGGAGAGACUACUGAGUUUUUAAAGCAAGGUCCAAACUUCAUGAAAAACCAGAGAGCAAGGUAUGGCAGUUUUUUCAAAUCCCACAUUCUUGGGUGUCCUACCAUUGUUUCCAUGGAUCCAGAGCUGAAUAAAUACAUCCUCAUGAAUGAGGCAAAAGGGCUUGUUCCUGGUUACCCUCAGUCCAUGCUUGACAUUUUGGGCAAAUGCAACAUUGCAGCAGUUCAUGGCUCCACUCACAAGUACAUGAGAGGGGCACUUCUUAGCCUCAUUAGCCCCACCAUGAUCAGAGAACAACUUUUGCCUACAAUUGAUGUGUUUAUGAGAACCCACCUCAGCAAUUGGGAUAACAAAGUUAUUGACAUCCAACAGAAAACCAAAGAGAUGGCACUUCUCUCGUCGCUCAAGCAAAUUGCUGGCAGUGAUUCUAGCUCAAUAUCUCAAGCUUUUAUGCCUGAGUUUUUCAAGCUGGUUUUAGGCACCCUUUCAUUGCCAAUUGACCUUCCUGGCACAAAUUAUCGUCGCGGACUCCAGGCCAGGAAGAAUAUUGUGAGCAUGUUGAGACAACUAGUAGAAGAACGAAGAGCAUCGAAAGAAACCCACCAGGACGUGCUUGGUUGCCUGAUGAAAAGUGAAGAAAGUAGAUACAAAUUAACUGAUGAAGAAAUAAUUGAUCAAAUAAUCACCAUUUUAUACUCUGGUUAUGAAACUGUUUCUACUACUUCAAUGAUGGCAGUAAAAUACUUGCAUGAUCACCCCAGAGUUCUUCAAGAACUAAGAGUAAGUUGAGAGAGAGAGAGAAAAAAGAAUCUUGGUUUUUAUUAAUACUGUUUACACGACGGUGGCAUUGAUUGAAUGUUGAAUAUAUGCAGAAAGAGCAUUUAGCAAUUAAAGAAAAGAAAAGGCCUGAGGAUCCAAUUAACUUGACUGACCUUAAAUCUAUGUGUUUUACUCGUGCGGUAAGAGAUCUAGAAUUCUUGAGCAUAUUCAAAUUUUCUGAUUGGUUGAUAAAGAAAAGUUGAAUAUGAUUUUGAUCUGUCAUGUUUUUUGCCGUGCAGGUGAUUUUUGAGACCUCAAGACUGGCUACAAUUGUUAAUGGGGUUUUGAGGAAGACUACUAAAGAAAUGGAACUAAAUGGAUUUGUGAUUCCAAAAGGGUGGAGAAUCUAUGUCUAUACUAGGGAGAUAAACUAUGAUCCCUUUUUAUAUCUAGAGCCAUUAUCCUUCAACCCAUGGAGAUGGCUGGUUAGUGACUCUUAAUCAUUAUCUCUUUGCCUAUUUAUCCAUGGUUUCCUUCCAAGUGACUAAUGUAGCUUUGUCUGCCAAUUGUAGGAUAAGAGCCGCUUGGAGUCUCAAAACUAUCUUUUCAUUUUUGGAGGAGGUACCAGGCAGUGUCCUGGAAAGGAACUAGGAAUAGCAGAAAUUUCUACUUUCCUUCACUACUUUGUAACUAGAUACAGGUAAAUUACAGAACCCAUUAAAAUUUUAAUCCCCCCUUGAUGGGUAUCAAAUGAACAGGACUAAUGUGGGUUAUUGUUGUACUUGCAGAUGGGAAGAAGUUGGGGGAGACAGUCUAAUGAAAUUUCCAAGAGUUGAAGCACCAAAUGGGCUGCACAUCAGGGUCUCAUCUUGCUAACUAAACUAUGAAUGUACAUAAGAAGAGAUAAAUAGCAAAUAUCGGAAACAGGGACAAGGAUGUAAAAUGAUCCUUCUAACAUAGUAGAAAGUGAAUGACAUCGAACAUUUCCAUCUUCGGCUAUAAAAAGCUUGUAAUUUUCUUCUCCUCCUUCUUCUUCGUUAGUAUAUUAAAUGAUAGUGCAAGAGAUUACAUGAGAUUAUUUUUCCUCCAAAGGACCACACAAUCCUUGGGUUCGUGCCUUGUAGUCCAACAAAACCCACAAACAAGUAUAGUGGGCUUGAUUUUAUGGCUGAAUCCACUAGAUUUAGCCCAAAUUGUUGCAGGACGUGAAUUUAAGGUUUAUGAACAGAGAGAAGUAUUAGUAAAAGUAUACCAUCUUGUUUCUAUAA
RNAcentral lists this unclassified non-coding RNA (2870 nucleotides) under Hevea brasiliensis (rubber tree). The record is from RNAcentral. Lineage: Eukaryota; Viridiplantae; Streptophyta; Magnoliopsida; Malpighiales; Euphorbiaceae.